UACGUAGGGCGCAAGCGUUGUCCGGAAUUAUUGGGCGUAAAGAGCUCGUAGGCGGUCUGUUGCGUCCGCUGUGAAAACUCGGGGCUUAACCCCGAGCCUGCAGUGGAUACGGGCAGACUAGAGGUAGGUAGGGGAGAAUGGAAUUCCCGGUGUAGCGGUGAAAUGCGCAGAUAUCGGGAGGAACACCGGUGGCGAAGGCGGUUCUCUGGGCCGAUACUGACGCUGAGGAGCGAAAGCGUGGGGAGCGAACAGG
Molecule: ribosomal RNA, 253 nt
Filed under: uncultured bacterium
Lineage: Bacteria
Description: partial 16S ribosomal RNA
Rfam family: Bacterial small subunit ribosomal RNA
Source: RNAcentral